This is an RNA transcript of Neopelma chrysocephalum (saffron-crested tyrant-manakin), 4463 nucleotides long. It is a transcript of the gene named Rho guanine nucleotide exchange factor 10 like, with no coding region annotated. NCBI's taxonomy places the organism in Eukaryota, Metazoa, Chordata, Aves, Passeriformes, Pipridae. The transcript is spliced from 31 exons. The record is from RefSeq and is a predicted model, not a curated record.
CCAGGUGGCACCUCCAGAGUUUUUUAUGGAAUUGCUGAUGCUCCAGGAGGUGAUUUAUCCACACACAUUGAACUUUCCCAAGGAUUUAGUGCAGGGAAGAGGGGGAUUCAGGCUCUGGCUCAGAGGGAUGAUGCAGACAGGCUUGUUGGGCUGGUUUGGAGCUGGAAAAAUCCCGACAGCUCCGGAGUUUGUUUGCAAGGGGCGUUUUCCAGCAGGGCCAGGCCCUGUGCCGGCAGAAAAUUCCUUCCCAGCCUGGAAAACACGGAUGAAAUAGGAGAAACUCAGGGAAGGGCCCGGGCGGAGCAUCCGGAGCCCCCUCGCCAUGGCCUCGUCUGAGCUGCCCCCCCAGCCUGCAGUAGGAGCCGCGGUGCCCCCGGAGCCGGCGGGCGCGGUGCCCGCGGGGGGGGAGGACGUGGGUGAAGCCUUUGCCUUCGAGGACAGCGAGGAGGAGGAGGAGGAGGAGGAAGAGGAGGAUCCCGCGGCCCAUCCCGGCGGGGCCGUUGUUCUCCGGGCCCCCCCGCGCCGGCGGCGUGGGACCAGCUCCGAGGGGGAGGGGCUGGUGCCGGAGACCCCGGAAGGGGCCCCGGUGAGGAUGAGCAAUGGGGAGGCCGGGGGAGACCCCCCCGUCCGCACCCAGACCUGGAAGCGGGAGAGCAUCUGCCGAGGUGAGCGGUUUUCCUUCCCGGAGGUGGAGGACGACGUGAUCUACGACGACGUUCCCUGCGAAAGCCUGGAUGCCGAGCAGGAUGGAGCAGGGAGGGAGCGGAGCCUGAUCUAUGAGGAGGUGCAGCGAGGAGAGGGCUCCCGGAUCAGCGAGGAUUUGGGCUGGAGCUCCAGUGAGUUUGAGAGUUACAGCGAGGACUCGGGGGAGGAGACCAAAGCCGAGCCCACCAAGCACCGAGCGUCCUUCCAGCCCAAGCUUUCUCCAGACCUGAAUAGACUAAAGGAGAGAUACGCCAGGACUAAGAGGGACAUCCUGGCUUUAAGAGUUGGGGGGAAGGACAUGCAGGAGCUGAAGCAGAAGUACGAUUGGAAGAUGACCCAGCUGAUGAAAGCGGCCAAAAGCGGCACCAAGGACGGUUUGGAGAAGACCAAGAUCGCGGUGAUGAGGAAGGUGACGUUCCUGCACCGGAAAGAAACCCCAGGGGACUCGGAGGAGGAGGACACGGGGUUCCUGGAGGUCACGGUCUCGGACAUGAAGCACCCGCCGCCGGAGCUGGGCCCCAUGCCCGAGGGGCUGAGCCCACAGCAGGUGGUGCGGCGGCACAUCCUGGGCUCCAUCGUGCAGAGCGAGCGGAGCUACGUGGACUCCCUGAAGCGCAUCCUGCAGGAUUACAGGAACCCGCUGCUGGAGAUGGAGCCAAAGGUGCUGAGCGCCAGGAAGUGCCAGGUGGUGUUUUUCCGGCUGAAGGAGAUCCUGCAGUGCCACUCCAUGUUCCAGAUCGCCCUCGCCUCCCGUGUGGCCGAGUGGGACUCAGCCGAGAAGAUCGGGGACCUCUUCGUGGCCUCAUUCUCCAAGUCCAUGGUGCUCGACGUCUACAGUGACUACGUCAACAACUUCACCUCAGCCAUGUCCCUCAUCAAGAAGGCCUGUCUCACCAAACCUGCCUUCCUCGACUUCCUCAAGAAGAGGCAGAUGGCCAGUGCCGACCGGGUCACGCUCUACGGGCUGAUGGUGAAGCCCAUCCAGAGGUUCCCUCAGUUCAUCCUUCUCCUGCAGGACAUGCUGAAAAACACCCCCAAGGGCCACGCAGACCGUCUGUCCCUCCAGCUGGCCCUCACUGAGCUGGAGACGUUGGCGGAGAAGCUCAACGAGCAGAAGCGCUUGGCCGACCAAGUGGCUGAGAUCCAACAGCUCAGCAAGAGCAUCAGCGACAGGAGCAGCCUCAACAAGCUGCUGAGCUCGGGGCAGAGGCAGCUCCUGCUCUGCGAGACGCUGACGGAGACGGUGUACGGGGACCGCGGGCAGCUCAUCAAGUCCAAGGAGAGGAAGGUUUUCCUGCUCAACGACAUGUUGGUCUGUGCCAACAUCAACUUCAAGCCAGUGAACACAGGAGGCCAACUGGAAAUCAGCAGCCUGGUGCCCCUGGGGCCCAAAUACGUGCUGAAGUGGAGCACGGCCCUCCCGCAGGUGCAGGUGGUGGAGGUGGGGCAGGAGAGCGGCGCCUACGACAAGGACAACGUGGUCAUCCACAACGCCGGCGCCCGCAGACACGCGCCCGCCGGGCAGGCCUCGCACAAUAAAGUCUACCUGGGGCCACCGCGGCUCUUCCAGGAGCUGCAGGACCUGCAGAAGGACCUGGCGGUGGUGGAGCAGAUCACCCUCCUCAUCAGCACCUUGCACGGCACCUACCAGAACCUGAACAUGACGGUGGCCCAGGACUGGUGUCUGGCACUGCAGAGGAUGGUGAGGGUGAAGGAGGAGGAGAUCCACUCUGCCAACAAGUGCCGCCUGCGGCUGCUGCUGCCCGGGAAGCCGGACAAGUCCGGCCGCCCCAUCAGCGUCAUGGUCGUGUUCAUCACCCCCAGCCCCCUGAGCAAGAUCUCCUGGGUGAACCGCCUGCACCUGGCCAAGAUAGGCCUGAGGGAGGAGAACCAGCCGGGCUGGCUCUGUCCCGACGAAGACAAGAAGAGCAAAGCCCCAUUCUGGUGCCCCAUCCUCUCCUGCCACAUGCCAGCCUUCUCCUCCAAAGCCCUUGAUCUGCAGCUCGGAGCCGCAGUUCACAACCCCGUGCAGUCCUCCCUGCUGGGCUUCUCCGCCGUCAGCACGUCGCUGCCGCAGGGCUACCUCUGGGUGGGGGGUGGCCAGGAGGGCGCGGGGGGGCAGGUGGAGAUUUUCUCCCUGAACCGCGCCGUGCCGCGCACCGUCAAGUCCUUCCCGGUGGCCUCCCCGGUGCUGUGCAUGGAAUACAUCCCGGAGCCCGAGGAGGGGGAUCCCCCGGGCUGCCAGGAACCCCGGGGCAGCGAGCAGCCCCCCUCAGCCCCUCAUCCCACCGUGUGCCUGGGGCUGCAGGACGGCAGCAUCCUGGUCUAUGGGAGCGUGGACACGGGCACGCCGUGCCUGCUGAGCUGCAGGAGCCCGGGAAUGCAGCCCAUCCUGUGCCUGAGGCACAGCCCCGAGUUCCUGUUUGCGGGGCUGCAGGACGGGUCCGUGGCCGCCUACCCCCGGAGCAACGGGGGGCUCUGGGAUCCCGGAGCGCAGCCCACCCGCCUGCCCGUGGGCACCGGCCCCGUGCGAGCCCUGCUGACCCUGGAGGAGACCCUGUGGGCCAGCUGUGCCAACCAGGUCACUGUCCUUGAUGCCACCACCCUCCGGGCCCAGCAAACCUUCGAGGCCCACCCCGAGGCCGAGGCCAGCGUGACCCACAUGGUGAAGGCGGGCAGUGGGGUCUGGAUGGCCUUUGCCUCGGGCUCCUCCAUCCGCCUCUUCCACACCGAGACCCUCGAGCACCUGCAGGAGAUCAACAUUGCCACCAGGACCACCUUUGUGCUCCCAGGUCACAAGCACGUGCGUGUCACCAGCCUGCUCAUCUGCCAGGGCUCGCUCUGGGUGGGCACCGACCAGGGCAUCAUCGUGCUGCUGCCUGUGCCCCGCCUGGAGGGGAUCCCCAAGAUCACCGGGAAGGGCAUGGUGUCCCUCAACGGCCACGGCGGCCCCGUGGAGUUCCUGGCGGUGGCUCUGAGCACCUUGGCCCCCGACGUCCUCCGGGGUGACCGGGACGAGGAGGAGGAUGGGGGCGAGGAGGAGAAAGGCCCGGAGCUGGAGGGGCCUCCCCCCCGGGAGCUGAGGAAGAAAGGGAUCCUGCUGCAGUACCGGCUGCGCUCCACGGCCCACCUGCCCGGGCAGCUGCUCUCCGUGCGGGAAUCCCCGCCGGGAACGCCGGCACACGCCGAGGAGGACGGCUCCAUCUACGAGCUGGCCGACGACCCCGACGUGUGGGUGAGGAGCCGGCCCUGCGCCCGCGACACCCCCCGCAAGGAGAUCUCCUCCGUGGCCAUCGUGUCCGGGGGCCGCGGGUACCGCAACUUCCGCGGGGACGGCCCGCACAGGGACAGGGGGGGCGGCGACAGCUCCCUGCUCAUCUGGCAGCUCCCGCUGGCGCUGUAGCAUUCCCAGGAUCCCAGCCCUCCCUGCUCACCUGGCAGAUCCCACUGAUGCUGUAGCAUUCCCGGGAUCCCAGCCCUCCCUAUCCCACUGAUGCUGUAGCAUUCCCGGGACCCUUCCCCACCCUGCUCAUCUGGCAGAUCCCGGGAUUCCCCCCAUCCUGCUCAUCUGGCAGAUCCCACUGAUGCUGCUGCAUUCCUGGAAUUGCCCCCCAGCUGUGGUUAUCUGGCAGAUCCUGGGAUUCCCCCCCAUCCUGCUCAUCUGGCAGAUCCCGUUGAUGCUGCAGCCUUCCUGGGAUUCUCUCCCCACCCUGCUCCCCUGGCAGAUCCCACCAAUGCUGUGCCAUUCCCAGGAUUCC